Non-coding RNA from Physcomitrium patens, 1300 nucleotides. NCBI's taxonomy places the organism in Eukaryota, Viridiplantae, Streptophyta, Bryopsida, Funariales, Funariaceae. The record is from RefSeq and is a predicted model, not a curated record.
UUGCUCACUCAAGCACUUUAUACAUUCUAUUCAUUUGAAAUGAAGGAUAUAUUCACCUAAAAUAGGUGUGAAUUAGGUGGCAUAAAAAUUGGAUAUGUUCAUCUAUUACAAAAAGAUAACAUCCUAAUACUUGGAUGAAACCUUAACUAUUGGAUGGAUGAUGAUGCCACAGAUGACCUCUAAUGGUAGAUAGAUAAAUGAUGGAUGAAUAGUGCCAACACAACAAACUCUAAAUCAAUUCUACAUUAAAGAAAGUAAUCCUAAAUGGAACCAUGAGAGGACAACCUUCUUGAAGUACAUGUCCGGAGACUAUACAACUACGAUAGUACAAUGGCGUCCAGUCUGGAGAAUCAUUGUUGGAAACACACCGAGGCAGUGCAAAAGUACUUCAAAAACAAUGUUGCACACACAAAACUGCGCCGAUAUUUUCUAUACAAAUAAGUAAGGCUUCCUUGUUCUUGUAUCAUAGAUGUUGAAACCACCAUGGCUUAGAAGUAUCACAUUACAGAGUUGCACCGACAAGGCCCAUUGACAAGAAUGAACGCUUCACUCCGAGGUGCCUUGGCCAAUGCAUAGGAUAAUAUGAAUGAAGCGAGUGUGGUGACCGCAAGAGAUGUUAUUUGUAGAGAGCCAGGAAGAAAAGGUGCAUACCUGGCGAUCCAGUUGCGAGAGCAAAAGAAGAAUCCCAACCUGUGGAUGCUGCAAGUGAGAAACAUGAGAUGAAGAAUCCGUUAGAGGAGAACCGGGUGUUGCUGCUGCUGCUAACAAGGCUGCUUCGCAUGUCGUCAAGAAAUGAGCUCUUCGUCUUCGACCCAGCCGGUGACUUGGUACCCACACACAAGAAUCCCCCUACCGAGCAGCAAAGGCAUUGUGAUUGACAGAGAGUCAAGCUCUUUGCCAUGGUUCUCUUUGAAACAACCAUGCACAGCAAGCUGGGACAUUCGAGAUCCAUCCAAUGACCAAAUUCAUCUCGCAGUAAGAUUGAAUAAACUUGGAAAGCUACAGAGGUACGCAUCAUGGCUUCAUAAUACAAAAAUUUGUGUUAUUCUGCGGGAGAGGAAUGAGGAUUCGACACAGAUGACCUGAGAAGAAACUAUGUUGAUAAAGAGAGGGAGUAGUUUGGCUCAGCUGCAACUGAAUUUCAGCAUUGUAACAAAAGAAAAUUAGCUAGCGGAUAAAAGUGAUCCCGACAUAGAAGAGGUUAAAUGGCAGAAUAUAUGAGGGUCUGAACCUGGAUGUUAAGCCUCCCAGAGUUCCCUCCUCACGGAGUAGGGAAAUAAAUGUCCACGGCGACGAAGAA